RNAcentral lists this long non-coding RNA (315 nucleotides) under Cucumis sativus (cucumber). RNAcentral describes it as "long non-coding RNA (CSAT_LNC000199)". The record is from RNAcentral. Lineage: Eukaryota; Viridiplantae; Streptophyta; Magnoliopsida; Cucurbitales; Cucurbitaceae.
GCGCUAUGGCCUGAGAGGAAGAGAUACGAGAACGUACCUUGUUCAAAUGCAAAUGGGUGAGAAAACUGUGGAGUUGUUUAAAUCUGUCUCAUAUUGUUGUCGAUUUGGGGUUGCUUCUUUUAGGGAGGUGUAUUGGAGAGUGGUGGUGUAAAUUGUAAAUUUAAAGACCUUUGGGAACAGUUUGGAGGAAGGAAAGGAAAGAAUCUUGUUUGGCCCAUAGAUUAUGGGAAGGGAAACGAAUACCCUUAAUCCCUCUUAUUCCUUCUCUCUCUUCCUUUAUUAUCCCACUUUUCUCACUUAAUCAUUUCAUUUUCC